Long non-coding RNA from Trichomycterus rosablanca, 444 nucleotides. RefSeq lists it as uncharacterized. NCBI's taxonomy places the organism in Eukaryota, Metazoa, Chordata, Actinopteri, Siluriformes, Trichomycteridae. The transcript has 2 exons. The record is from RefSeq and is a predicted model, not a curated record.
UAAAUUCAAUUUUUGUGUUUUCAGUAUUGAACUUUUGAUGGCAUGUGGAAACAAACUGGUUUCACCAAAGUUGCAUGAGGGCCAGAAACUAAAUGGCUUCAUGAUUCACAAGAUAUUUACAUCAAAGGCAGUGUACAUUAAACCAUUACGCAUUUACGUUUGUCACCACAGAUUUAGAGGACAGUGGUGUGGGGGUUGACACGACAACAGCAUCUACUGACCACAGAAGUACCACACCAGUCAUUGUAUGACUACAAGGUCUAAGGAUACCUUAAUCCACCUGAGUGACAGAUUAUUUGCUGUUGAGACUGUUCUGAAAUAUUUGGUUUCUGCAUGCAACAAUAAAUAAGAAACAUUUGUUUGCUUGGGACAAGAUCUUUGUUAACCAGUCUAAUAGUGAUUUCCUGACCUGUCCGUAACUUGGUAAUAAAUAUCUAAAUAUUA